CGAGGAACAAUUGGAGGGCAAGUCUGGUGCCAGCAGCCGCGGUAAUUCCAGCUCCAAUAGCGUAUAUUAAAGUUGUUGCAGUUAAAAAGCUCGUAGUUGAACCUUGGGCCUGGCUGGCAGGUCCGCCUCACCGCGUGUACUUGUCCGGCCGGGCCUUCCUUCUGGAGAACCUCAUGCCCUUCACUGGGCGUGUUGGGGACCAGGACUUUUACUUUGAAAAAAUUAGAGUGUUCAAAGCAGGCCUUUGCUCGAAUACGUUAGCAUGGAAUAAUAGAAUAGGACGUGCGGUCCUAUUUUGUUGGUUUCUAGGACCGCCGUAAUGAUUAAUAGGGACAGUCGGGGGCAUCAGUAUUCAAUUGUCAGAGGUGAAAUUCUUGGAUUUAUUGAAGACUAACUACUGCGAAAGCAUUUGCCAAGGAUGUUUUCAUUAAUCAGUGAACGAAAGUUAGGGGAUCGAAGACGAUCAGAUACCGUCGUAGUCUUAACCGUAAACUAUGCCGACUAGGGAUCGGGCGAUGUUCUUUUUCUGACUCGCUCGGCACCUUACGAGAAAUCAAAGUUU
This 562-nucleotide ribosomal RNA is filed under the name Kwanghwana miscanthi. Its description in RNAcentral is "SSU rRNA". It matches the Rfam family "Eukaryotic small subunit ribosomal RNA", at positions 538 to 1106 of the family's 1831-position model. The record is from RNAcentral. Lineage: Eukaryota; Fungi; Ascomycota; Dothideomycetes; Pleosporales; Phaeosphaeriaceae.